RNAcentral lists this transfer RNA (62 nucleotides) under Cucujoidea sp. 4 KM-2017. RNAcentral describes it as "tRNA-Glu". The record is from RNAcentral. Lineage: Eukaryota; Metazoa; Arthropoda; Insecta; Coleoptera.
AUUUAUAUAGUUUAAAAAAAACAUUAUAUUUUCAUUAUAAAAUUAAGUUAUAUUUAUAAAUA